CAAGUCGCACGAGAAAGGGGGCAACCCCGAGUAAAGUGGCGCACGGGUGCGUAACACGUAGGCAAUCUUCCCUCUGGAGGGGGAUAACCCUCCGAAAGGAGAGCUAAUACCGCGUAAGACCACAGCCGCUUCGGCGGCAGAGGUCAAAGCUGGCCUCUACUUGUAAGCCAGCACCAGAGGACGAGCCUGCGGCCCAUCAGCUAGUUGGUAAGGUAACGGCUUACCAAGGCUAAGACGGGUAGCUGGUCUGAGAGGAUGAUCAGCCACACUGGCACUGAAACACGGGCCAGACUCCUACGGGAGGCAGCAGUGGGGAAUAUUGGACAAUGGGCGAAAGCCUGAUCCAGCGACGCCGCGUGGGUGAUGAAGGCCUUCGGGUUGUAAAGCCCUGUGGGCAGGGAAGAAAACGUUGCAGGCGAAUAGGCUGCGACCUUGACGGUACCUGCUCAGAAAGCACCGGCUAACUCUGUGCCAGCAGCCGCGGUAAGACAGAGGGUGCAAACGUUGCUCGGAAUUACUGGGCGUAAAGCGCGUGUAGGCGGAUUGGUGUGUCGGAUGUGAAAUCCCCAGGCUCAACCUGGGAACUGCAUUCGAAACUGCCAGUCUUGAGUAGUGGAGAGGGAAGUGGAAUUCCUGGUGUAGAGGUGAAAUUCGUAGAUAUCAGGAGGAACACCAGUGGCGAAGGCGGCUUCCUGGACACUAACUGACGCUGAGACGCGAAAGCGUGGGGAGCAAACAGGAUUAGAUACCCUGGUAGUCCACGCUGUAAACGAUGGGCACUAGGUGUCGCGGGUUUUUGACCCCCGCGGUGCCGUAGCCAACGCGUUAAGUGCCCCGCCUGGGGGAGUACGGCCGCAAGGCUAAAACUCGGAGGAAUUGACGGGGG
RNAcentral lists this ribosomal RNA (886 nucleotides) under uncultured delta proteobacterium. Its description in RNAcentral is "bacterial SSU rRNA". It matches the Rfam family "Bacterial small subunit ribosomal RNA", at positions 58 to 919 of the family's 1533-position model. Lineage: Bacteria; Deltaproteobacteria. The record is from RNAcentral.